Molecule: long non-coding RNA, 3046 nt
Organism: Xiphophorus hellerii (green swordtail)
Lineage: Eukaryota; Metazoa; Chordata; Actinopteri; Cyprinodontiformes; Poeciliidae
Exons: 4
Source: RefSeq, a predicted model, not a curated record
CCGGACUGGCCUUUUCAUUGUCUUCUUCUUCUUUGGGAUUUUAUGACUGUCGUUCAUUCAUGUCAUUGCAUUACCGCCACCUUGUGGAUCUUACGAUCAUCACGUUCAUUUAAAUGUGCGGUGCUGGUGGUCGAGUGUAAAUGACUUUUAACGGGUUUUUCUACUUGAAUUUUCUACCGGUAUUUUAAUAAUAGUUUGUAUUUAUUUAUGUUUUAGCUCUCAGGAUUGAAGGUGGUGCGUUUGGCCCAGAUGGUGGCGCCCCCUGUUGCUGUGGCUGUCCCGUGAUCAACAUAAAUCGAUGGAGGGAAAUCCAACGAGUGUUUGUGACGUCACGGUGUUUGGUGAUUCUUUGCUCGGGAGCCUCCGAUCCAGAACCUGUCAGCACCUACCGCCAAGCCUCGGCAACUCAGCUUAAUUUUUCUAACUCCUUCUUAUCUACAUAGAGGCUCGCUCCUCUGGUCACUGUUUGCUCGAUUACCUGUCCGCCCUCCAACACCACCUCCACCAGCGAUCUACACCAAACUCUGAGACUCCACACGCCACCAACAAGCAGCCUCGACUCCAGCAGCCCCCACCGCUUCUUCCUCCCUGGCAGAUUAACUGCAUUUCAUCAAGAUGCAGUCGAUCCUAUACAGUGGACUCCGGGACAAGAUUCACAUUUCAUUCAAUUCUCUGGACAAAAUAAACUGUAUUGAACUGAUUCACCGGCUUCAUGUUUGUUCUGUAUGUGGGUCAAGUGGAUCAAUCCCCUCAUGACAGAAAUUAUGCUUUAACCCUCAGAUUUUAACAAAUGUAACUUUAUAUGAACAUUACAUUUUUUAUGGCUUUCUUUUUAUUUGUCUAAAAGAAGAAAAUCUGGAUUUAUACACAUAAUUGCUCGACUCUGGAGAACCUGGCCGUCCUGUGGGACAUUGUUGCUGGUACGGGUCUAGGUUUUGGGCAUCUGGGGUCUGUGGCCCUCAUCUGGGGAGGGACAUUAGUGACCCUGUGAAUGACUUCUGGCGGCAGCAUGUGGUGAGUUUGGGGCUCCUUACAGCUUGAGAUGGGUUACUGGCAUGGUGGCCGUAUUGUUCCUGGGGUAGUCUUGGGAUUCUGGGGGCGUAUUUUCCCUGGAUCCUGGCUGAACCCUGAGACUUGGGUUCUGCUCAGUAUGUAGUCUGGAUUUGGGGCCGGUUCAUGCACUGCAUGUUUGCACUGUGAAUUUUCAACAUGGUUUUGGGCUCUUUAUGCCACGUCUUGUCCUCAGUUGUGAGGUGGAUCGCAGUGGGGUGGUGGUGGUCCUGUGUCUGGAUGAUCCAGCAGUCUCUGUGUGAGCCUGUCUCUGUGUGGGUCUGUCAGGGUUGGGGUCGCUGAGCUCUCAUUAUGUUGGACUUCACAACAACCAUCGUCUUGUACCAGGUUAGGAUUGGCUUUUUUACUUAUCACUUGGCGGCUGGGAUGUUUAUGGACCUGUGAGGGGCUGCUUCCUUUUUCACAGUUGGUGCGUUGGCUUUUCUGUAGCAUCCUUCCUACUGGUGGUGUAGUCGGCAAGUUGAGAGGCUUGUGUUUUUGGCUUAUUUGUGUAUGAAGUGGUGAAAGUGCUUGUGUUGGCUGGUGUUUGCAUUUUGAUUGGCCCCUUUUUUUGGGUCUGGUAUCGUUUACUGUCUGUCUGUCUGUCUUGGUGUUGGCAUGGGCUGUGAUUUAUUGCUUUGCUAGCCUAUCUGUGGCCACAGCCUGGUGCUGGGCUGGGAUUCAGGGCUGUGGGUGGUAUUCUUGUUCUGGAUAUUGCGCUGAGCUGGCUGGUCGGUCCAUUUCUUGGGUUGGGGUUCUUUCAGUCAACCCGGUGCGCUGUAUGUCUGCUGGAUCUUCUUCAUUGGGACUAGGUGGAUCCUUUGGUUGGCAGGCUGGGUUUGUGACUUGGGAUAGGGGUUUGGUUUGAAUGAUUCCUAAGCUGGUGGUCCUGGUUCUGGUUGGCUGUUGGAUCUCUGUGUAUGAGAAAUGCAAGUGGGUGUAUGGCGUCCAUUUUUGUUUUGUUUAUUUUGACAUUAUAUACAUGGGUUUGAAUGUCUGGGUGUACACAUGAGAAUGGGAACAUGUGAUCUUGUCUCUGUGUGCCUGGUCUGUCUGUCAGGUUUGGUCUCUGGCUCCCUCCUCUCUGUGAUUACCUUUAUAUCAAGUUGGGUGAGAGGAGGGGGCCCCUAUAAAACUUUUUUCUCACCUUUCUUUUCUCUCCAGCUUUCUUCUCCGUCUCAUUACAAUUUAAUAAAAUAAACCCAAAGCAGUUUCUAAUAAAGUUUCAUGUAAUUAUAUCAGGGGGAAGCCAUAAUGGUCCACUUAUGCAAGUCUUUAGGGCUUAACCUUGGUACUCGGCAAUGCUGAGUGUCACACUGUCAGACAGGACAAGUUUAACACAAAACACAACAAAAAGACAAAAUGCAAGUGUUUAGUCAAUGGUAAAUGUAUGUAUAGCGAUUUAUCUAGUGCAGAGGAUGCCAAAGUGCUUUACAUGUUGAUGGUGGUAAGCUACAUUGUAGCCCAGCUGCCCUAGGGCAGACUGACAGAAGCUGCUACACAAUCGGCACCAUCGGACUUCUGACUAACAGCAGGCAAGGCAGGUUUGGUGCCUUGCUCAAGGACUCAACAACUGAGAUGGAUGUGUGUAGCGCCUUUCUCAACUGAGCAGAUCUGACUGCGAGGUGUAGUGUUAACCAGUUUGUAUAAUCAGAAGUAGGUACGGCACGGAGUCAUGAGUGGGGUGAAUAAUUAAUACAACUGAUACAAAAAAGUAAAGUUUGUUAAUAUUGCUAUUUAUUGCAGUGGCAAUAAUAAUAAUAAUAAUAAUAAUAAUACCAAAACAAAACAAUAAAUUUCCAAAAACAGAAGGGGAAAAAAACUAACCAACAAAAACAAUUAUAAUAAUAAUCAUUGAUACUUCAAACGUAAUAGAGUCCACAAUAGAUCCAAGAACAAAAAGAGAAUAAUUAUGUUCCCUUUUCAAUACUCAGAGUUUAGUACCAAAUUUCAUCGCUGCACCAACAUGGAAUGCAACACCAAUAAAGAAAUCAUG